This 457-nucleotide ribosomal RNA is filed under the name uncultured bacterium. Its description in RNAcentral is "partial 16S ribosomal RNA". It matches the Rfam family "Bacterial small subunit ribosomal RNA", at positions 338 to 795 of the family's 1533-position model. The record is from RNAcentral.
CCUACGGGUGGCAGCAGUGGGGAAUAUUGCACAAUGGGCGAAACCCUGAUGCAGCGACGCCGCGUGAGUGAAGAAGUAUUUCGGUAUGUAAAGCUCUAUCAGCAGGGAAGAAACCCACCCUCCGGGGUGGCUGACGGUACCUGACUAAGAAGCCCCGGCUAACUACGUGCCAGCAACCGCGGUAAUACGUAGGGGGCAAGCGUUAUCCGGAUUUACUGGGGGUAAAGGGAUCGUAGGUGGCAAGGCAAGUCAGAUGUUAAAACCCGGGGACCAACCCCGGGAGUGCAUUUGAAACUGUCUGGCUAGAGUGCAGGAGAGGUAAGUGGAAUUGCUGGGGUAGCGGUGAAAUGCAUAGAUAUUAGGAGGAACACCAGUGGCGAAGGCGGCUUACUGGACUGUAACUGACACUGAGGCUCGAAAGCGUGGGGAGCAAAUAGGAUUAGAUACCCUUGUAGUC